GGGGUCGACUGGUUUUGACAGCAGGUCGAAUUGAAUGGUAAGCACGCCAGGAACGGAAACAUAUCCUGUAAAUAAUGUUUCACAAUUUUAAACGGCGAAAAUAACUACGCUCUUGCUGCAUAAUCCGAAUUUAUAGUACGAUUAGCCUCGUUCCUACAAGGUAGGAAAGCGAGAUUCUCCUAAAAAGCCUUGGUUUACGGCGUUUUGUUAAGGGGAACCGUAAAAGUAAACAUAGGGACUUCUUUGCUUUGCAGAAGUCUUGAAACUAAAGAAGCUAAGUAGUAUGUGGUCGUUUCCGACCUUGCACACUAUCGAAAACCUAAGCGGAAACUAAGCGUGUAGAAAGCUCUUGAAUUGCCUGUUUGGACCCGGGUUCGAUUCCCGGCGAUUCCACUG
Molecule: transfer-messenger RNA, 396 nt
Filed under: Flavobacterium salilacus subsp. altitudinum
Lineage: Bacteria; Pseudomonadati; Bacteroidota; Flavobacteriia; Flavobacteriales; Flavobacteriaceae
Also listed under: 1 other name
Rfam family: transfer-messenger RNA
About the family: Bacterial tmRNA, also known as 10Sa RNA or SsrA, is named for its dual tRNA and mRNA-like properties. Its role is to liberate the mRNA from a stalled ribosome.
Source: RNAcentral